CAUAAAGCAGCAACACUUAUUUCUUUUCUCAAAGCAAGCAAGAACAGAACUGGUCAUCAAAGAAGUUGACGGGAUUCAUUCAUUCAGAUGGCCGCCGCGGUCGGUGUGCAGCGGCGCUUGCAGAAGUUAGUGAGGACGUCGACGCACCGGUAGACAGGCGCCUCGGUGGUGCUGGUGUACUUGACGCAGUUCAUGCACGCUGGGUGGCAACCCUGGAACGAGAUGUCCAGGCAACUGCAAUCUGGUGGAUUCUUCCUGUUGCAGAAGCCGCACUGGUUGCAGCACGGCCAGGAGCUCGCGUUCGCGGCGUCGUCAGCGACCGCCGCUCCUCCCUCCUCCCCGCUCCCUGCGGCCACCAAAGAUUAGUCGACGCAUCCAGUUGAGUUGAGUUGAGUGUCAAACUGUUAAUUUCUCACCUUUGCUGAGGAGUGGCAGAGUUGCGAGGACGGCGAGGACAGCCAGUGUGACGAGCAACACCUGAGGUCUCAUGCUUGUUUCUCUUGGUAUGUAGGAAUACAGGGUGUUGCCAGGUUUGUUGUGGUUGGACUUCCUUCCUACUGAUGGGUGAUGGUUAUCUGUAUGAGGCUAGAGGCCUUAUUAUAAGAGGAGGGGGUGCCAUGACAGCUGUGUGCCUGCCAAGUUAAGGCUAGCUUGGCACGGCUCUUGAACAAUGGCUUUAGCUCUAGCUUAUCUAAUGAUCUUGUAUGUUGGAGAAACAAUCUUUUAAGAUAGAUGGAAGAGGUCAAAUAUCCAAAAUACCCUUAUUUAUUUCCUUUCUUUUCUCUUUUCUUUUAAUUUCUUUUUCUUUCCCGGUCAUUUUUCUUCCUUUCUCAUUUUUUCCUUCACCAUUUAUUUUUCUUCCUUUCUUAUUUCCUCUUCCUUCUAUCCUUAUCUUCCUUUCCUCAGCUCCUGCAGAACGCCGCCCCUGCCUCUCAUGACCAUGGCCAUCACCCGCAGCUCUUCCGGCUCGACGUCCCUGCCUCCCCACUCCUCCAACUCGACGCCCUAUCUCCCCUAGCCCACUCCCUCUCCUCAGCCCGAGCGCCCAACAACCCCUUCCUCCCAGCACGUCCGGCCUCGCUUAGCAGUUUGUGCGGCACGCCUGCAGCGUCGCUUGUGCAUCCAACGUGCUCGCCCCGUCCCGCCGUGCUCCACCCACCGCCGGUCAGGUCAGCACCGGCGUUACUCCGUCCGUGCCACUGCACCAUCCGCCACCGCCCACCAACACAGUGGUUUCAAGAAAUUUCAAACAAUUUAAAUAUUUGAUAAAUGAUUUCAAAGUUGUUUCAAACUUUUACAAGUGAACAUAAAUGUUAUUUAGUGAAUGUAAAAAAUAUAAUUUCAUACAUAACACAGAUAUUUUGACUAGUUAGUUCACAUGUCCCUAUAGGUUGAAACACCUCAUGAGUUAUAGGGUGAUCAUGACUUGGAUAUCCAUUUGAGAAAAACGUACUGUUACAAUAUCUCAAAAUUAUGUUAAUAUUUUUUAAUCCAUGUUGGUUCACUGCUGAAGUGGUUACAUGCAAAAUAUCAUGAAAAACAUUCCCCCUUAUAUUUGAUGUUUUUGGAGCGUUCCCGAGCUAAUCUCGGUCAAGCUCCAAAUGGAAGGUUGACUAAGAUAGAAGAUGCCCGCGGUCUUAAAUGGGUACUUGCGUUGCCCGCCAGCACAGAGGCUAGUAUGCUUACGAGUUCUCCCCCGCAGGUCCAAGGAAGAUUUGUGCUGGUGGGUGCCAAUCAAACCCACCAGCACACUAAUUUACCUGUGUGAACACAAAUUAAAUCUGGCGUAGUGUUUUCUUAGUAUCUUUUGCUGUGGUGAGGCAUGUGAGUACUGCUGGCACGAUCAUCAGCUUGUCCUGGGCUGCUGCUAAGCAUGCACCACGAGCCAAAGGUUUUCGGGAUGCUCAGCUCAUAAGGAAUUGACUGAAAGUGACUGUUCGUUGUGUGAGCUAGCUGUCUCCACUGGUGGCUUCUGAAUUAUUGGUCCUAUAUACAUGCACCACGCGCAACAUAAGGGAAAAAAAGUCUGCAACAUGUGCGGCACUGGAUAAUUGAGCUAGCAAUAACAGUGUUGUACGCUUGUCUAUGAGGGAUGCAUGGUGCCUAACAAUCACAAUGAUCUAUACUGACUACUCCCUCCGUUCCAAAUUAUAAGUCAUUCCAAGAAUCUUGGAGAGUCAAAGCAUCUCAAGUUUGACCAAAAUUAUAGAAAAAAUUAUAAAGAUUCAUAACAUUAAAUAGUUAUACUAUGAAACUAUAAUUGAUGAAGAAUCUAAUGAUACUUUGUUGACAUCACAAAUGUUAUUAUAUUAUCAUAUAAAUUUAGUCAAACUUGAGAUACUUUGACUCUCCAAGAUUCUUAAAAUGACUUAUAAUUUGGGAUGAAGGGAGUACAUCAUAGCUUGUCUGCUUGCCUAGUGCGCGUGAACCAUGAGGGCAGGACUAGUGGCUGCACACUACUCCACGAGGGUAGGACUGGUGGCUGUGCAUCGACAGAAUUCACUAUUCGACACUAAAAAAACUAAUCGUGACACUAAACAAAUUUUGGUUCCCGUUUGAUACUGAGUUCAAUUUUCAUUCUUUAUAUAACAUUCUGUUGGAUUUUUCAUAUGAGAACCAUUAAAUGCCCGAUGAAAAGACGAUUUUGCCCUUGUGAGCCCCACCACCCUUCUCCGAUCUACUCACCUUCUCCAUCCGCUCUAUUGUACCUCCCCCACUGCUCCAUCCAUCCUCCUUAUUUAUUUCCAAGAUACCCUUAUUUAUUUCCUUUCUUUUCUCUUUUCUUUUAAUUUCUUUUUCUUUCCCGGUCAUUUUUCUUCCUUUCUCAUUUUUUCCUUCACCAUUUAUUUUUCUUCCUUUCUUAUUUCCUCUUCCUUCUGUCCUUAUCUUCCUUUCCUCAGCUCCUGCAGAACGCCGCCCCUGCCUCUCAUGACCAUGGCCAUCACCCGCAGCUCUUCCGGCUCGACGUCCCUGCCUCCCCACUCCUCCAACUCGACGCCCUAUCUCCCCUAGACCACUCCUUCUCCUCAGGCCCGAGCGCCCAACAACCCCUUCCUCCCGGCACGUCCGGCCUCGCACCUCCGGUCCACUUAGCAGUUUGUGCGGCAUGCCUGCAGCGUCGCUUGUGCAUCCAACGUGCUCGCCCCGUCCCGCCGUGCUCCACCCACUGUCGGUCAGGUCAGCACUGGCGUUACUCCGGCCGUGCCACUGCACCGUCCACCACCGCCCACCAACACAGUGGUUUCAAGAAAUUUCAAACAAUUUAAAUAUUUGAUAAAUGAUUUCAAAGUUGUUUCAAACUUUUACAAGUGAACAUAAAUGUUAUUUAGUGAAUGUAAAAAAUAUAAUUUCAUACAUAACACAGAUAUUUUGACUAGUUAGUUCACAUGUCCCUAUAGGUUGAAACACCUCAUGAGUUAUAGGGUGAUCAUGACUUGGAUAUCCAUUUGGGAAAACGUACUGUUACAAUAUCUCAAAAUUAUGUUAAUAUUUUUUAAUCCAUGUUGGUUCACUGCUGAAGUGGUUACAUGCAAAAUAUCAUGAAAAACAUUCCCCCUUAUAUUUGAUGGUUUUGGAGCGUUUCCCGAGCUCCUCUCGGUCAAGCUCCAAAUGGAAGGUUGACUAAGUUAGAAGAUGCCCGCGGUCUUAAAUGGGUACAUGCGUUGCCCGCCAGCACAGAGGCUACUAUGCUGACGAGUGGUCCCCCGCAGGUCCAAGGAAGAUUUGUGCUGGCGGGUACCAAUCAAACCCGCUAGCACGCUAAUUUACCAAUGUGAACACAAAUUAAAUCUGGCGUAGUGUUUUCUUAGUGUCUUUUGCUGUGGUGAGGCAUGUGAGUACUGCUGGCACGAUCAUCAGCUUGUCCUGGGCUGCUGCUAAGCAUGCACCACGAGCCAAAGGUUUUCUGGAUGCUCUGAAAGUGACUGUUCGUUGUGUGAGCUAGCUGUCUCCACUGGCGGCUUCAGAAUUAUUGGUCCUAUACACAUGCACCACGCGCAACAUAAGGGAAAAAAAGUCUGCAACAUGUGCGGCACUGGAUAAUUGAGCUAGCAAUAACAGUGUUGUACGCUUGUCUACGAGGGAUGCAUGGUGCCUGACAAUCACAAUGAUCUAUACUGACUACUCCCUCCGUUCCAAAUUAUAAGUCAUUCCAAGAAUCUUGGAGAGUCAAAGCAUCUCAAGUUUAACCAAAAUUAUAGAGAAAAUUAUAAAGAUUCAUAACAUUAAAUAGGUAUACUAUGAAACUAUAAUUGAUGAAGAAUCUAAUGAUACUUAGUUGACAUCAUAAAUAUAAUUAUAUUAUCAUAUAAAUUUGGUCAAACUUGAGAUACUUUGACUCUUCAAGAUUCUUGGAAUGACUUAUAAUUUGGGAUGAAGGGAGUACAUCAUAGCUUGUCUGCUUGCCUAGUGCGCAUGAACCAUGAGGGCAGGACUAGUGGACGCACACUACUCCACGAGGGCAGGACCGGUGGCCGUGCACCGACAGCAUUCACUAUUCGACACUAAAAAAUCUAAUCGUGACACUAAACAAAUUUUUGUUCCCAUUUGAUACUGAGUUCAAUUUUCAUUCUUUAUAUAACAUAUGAGAACCAUUAAAUGCUUGAUGAAAACACGGUUUUGCCCUUGUGAGCCCCACCACCCUUCUCCGAUCUACUUACCUUCUCCAUCCGCUCUAUUGUACCUCCCCCACUGCUCCAUCCAUCCUCAUGUCCAGGUGAGAGCUUAGGCACCAGGAGCUCACUACAGUUCUAUUUGUGUGGUUAUUGUCAUCGAGGAUGGUCGGGACAGUGGAGCUCCAAGGGAGGGGGGUCAUGGCAGGCUGAUGGCUCGAGUCACCAAGGAAAGGAUGAUUCCCGGCGGGGUUGAGCUCGUCCUAGCCAACAAGCAGGUCGGGGAGGUCGAGCGCAAGGUGAGGGAGGUUUGGGUGCGACGGAUUGGGUUUUGGCAGAGGUGGUGAGAAUUUGGCUGGCGAUGAGGUUCGGUGGCUGGUGGCAGUCGCAAGACAUGGAAUUCCCAGCACUAAGUAGUUUGUGAUUGGGCUGGAACUAGCCUGGUGUCGGGGAUACAUCCCCAAUACCCGCAAGGAAGGAAGAAGUCAGACUCCUACUAGGAUUCCCUUGUAAUCCGACUAGGACUCAUACCGUGUACUCCUACUAGGACUCCUCCUUGUAAUCCGACUAGUACUCUGCCCCCUGGAGUAUAUAAAGGAGGGUAAGGGUACCUAGCUCGGUAGGUCACACCUCAACACCCAAGCGUAGGGCGCAGUAUACAAAUACCCCCAAACAGGACGUAGGGUAUUACGCUACUCCGGCGGCCCGAACCUAUCUAAAUCCGUGUCUUGUGUCCUCGCUUUUACCUUCAAGUUCCAGGUCCGGCGAUCCCCCACUACACAUUCUGCUACCUCGGGUACCCCUUGGUAGACGGCCGAUAUAAAUCACCGACAUUGGCGCCCACCGUGGGGCAGCUCGUCGAGAUCAUCAGGCGAGCUUGAAGGACCUCAUCUUCAAGCCGGCGUUCGCUUUCAAAGCGGGCACAACCUUCGUCUUCGACUCCUGACUUUGCAUCACCGACGGCACUGGGUCCUUCCAAUGCUGCAUCAUCGACAACCAGGAGAAGAAGCGCCUCGACGGGAACUCUCUUCCACAAGAAGCAGAAAAUCUCAUUGAGAAAAUCGACAAAUUAAACCUUGGAUCAAGGUUCGACUGCAAACUCGUACUCCAACGGCGACUUCGGGUUCGACCAUGAUUCGAACUCGAACUCCGACGGCGACUACGGGUCUGACUACAACGCGGAGUCCGACAGCGACUCCAGGUCUGGCUACGACUAUGAGUCCGAUGACGACUCCGGGUUCGAUCGCAACACGGAGUCUGACGGCGACUCCAGCUUCAACUCCGACUCAAAGUCUAACAGCGACUCUGAGUUCGACUACAACUCAAAAGUCCGACUACAUUGCGAGCCCUCCGACGACUACAGGCGGCUCGUCGAUGAUUUCUUGGACUAUGUUGCGGGCACGCCGACGACCACGGUCGACUUGCCGACGACUCUGUUGACUACGGGCAGCUCGUCGACGACUUCAACUACGUUGCAAGCUCGCCGACGACUACGGGCGGCUCGGCAAUGACUUUGACUACUUUCCUCGACUACUUCGCUCGGCAACACAUUGAUGACUACUUCGUCAUGACGCUCGCCGACGACUUCUCCGAGUACGUCACGGCGCUUGCCGACUACUACGGGCAGCUCGCCGACGACUACUCCGACCACAUCGCGACGCUCGCUGACGACUACUACUCGUCUCGACUACAAGGCUAGUCGAGGGCGGAUUACAACUCGUCUUGACUAAAAAAUUAGUUGGGGCAAACUUCACAUCAUCGACAACUAGUCAGAAUCUCCUCCGACUAGUCGAUUUCGUUAACAACCAUUACGGCUUCAUCAACGACCAUCACGGCUUCGUCAAACAAUCAUCCACGAAUCAAGCUAAGUCACUUUUCUAAAUUAUUUUCCGGCUUACUUUCCGCUUGCGCGCAACACGCGCUCUACUCGCUGGAAACUCUCGCGCACAACAUGCGCUCUAUUCGCCGGAGGGCAGCAAACUCUUUCGCGCUACCUCGCUCUCUUUUUAUCGCAACAGUGACUAUUCCUUUUUGUCUUCUCUUAUGGUCACUACUCUUCUCGAGCAGAACAUGCCUUAACUCGUGAAAGCCUCAGGCGCAUCUGUCACGCCUAAGCCUAUACGUGUAUACGAGACAAAGGUCUCACACACGCAGUGGCAACGGCUACCCAGAGACUGAGAGUCUAAGCAUAACAGGCUAACUACUCAGGAAGAGUAUGACUAAAACAAGAGCUUGACUCGCAAUCAUGCAGUCUCUUUCUUGUCGCAGCAGCGACUACUCUCACUUUUGUCUUCUCUUAAGGUCACUACUCUUCUCGAGCAGAACACGCCUUAACUCGUGAAAGCCUCAGGCGCAUCUGUCACGCCUAAGCCCAUACGCGUAUACGAGACAACGAUCUCACACACGCAGUGGCAACAGCUACCCAGAGACUGAGAGCCUAAUCGUAACAGGCUAACUACUCGGGAAGAAUAUGACCGAAAUAAGAGCAUGACACAACAUUCAUAUUGAUCACUGAAUAAAUUUCAGCAGUUUCAAAAUCCUACAAAAAUGCUACAUAAUGUAUGCAUCUUUUCUUUCAGAUCGAGCUUCAGUGACACUAAGCAUGCCUCCAAUGGCACAGGCUAGUUCCCGAACUCGGGGGCUAAGCACCAAUCAGUACUCGGAAUAUCUCCAGUGGCUCAGCUAGCUCCCAGGCUCGGGGGCUGGAUGCCGCAAAACCACUCGACGUGGCUCCAACGACUUACCUGGCGCACAAGCUCGGGGGCUGGACGCCGCAAGACUACUCGAAUGAUGACCUGAGUGAAGAUUCAAGACCCUCGGGUUGAUUAUUCAAUCAAUCAAAGGCUCGGGGGCUGAUAAGCUACACCCAACAAUUGAUUUUUUCAAGUCAAAAGAGGAAGAUUCAAGAUUUUGACCCUCAGCCUGAUUCUGCGAUUCAACCUAAGGCUCGGGGGCUACUCCAUAUGGAGUGUGACUUUCACCGUCCUCCAUACAUGAAGACUUCAAUAUCAUGUUGAUCAAGACUUUGAGCACACCAUAGCCUCAUGGUGGCUUUGAGAAACAUUGAAAGAUUCAGUCUGACAAAGUACUCGAAGAGCACCAAAACUACCCGGCGAAUAUCUCAAGACUACUCGAAGACUGCUGCAUUCGACUAUGAAGCGCUCGGAGGCUUGUCAGGAAUACAUCCCCACUACCCGCAAGGAAGGAAGAAGUCAUACUCCUACUAGGAUUCCCCUGUAAUCCGACUAGGACUCAUACCGUGUACUCCUACUAGGACUCCUCCUUGUAAUCCGACUAGUACUCUGCCCCCUGGAGUAUAUAAAGGAGGGCAGGGGUACCUAGCUCCGUAGGUCACACCUCAACACCCAAGCGCAGGGCGCAGUAUACAAAUACCCCCAAACAGGACGUAGGGUAUUACGCUACUCCGGCGGCCCGAACCUGUCUAAAUCCGUGUCUUGUGUCCUCGCUUUUACCUUCAAGUUCCAGGUUCGACGAUCUCCCACUACACAUUAUGCUACCUCGAGUACCCCUUGGUAGACGGCCGGUAUAAAUCACCGACACCUGGGAGGGAGAUUGGAAUUUGGAGAAUUCUUGUGUGAGACCACGGGGCACCGUCUCAUACACCAGCCUUGCCGUGCUGAAAUCAGCGAGCUUCACGCCGUAGCCUUUGGUGUCGCAGCAGUCGAGGAGCACGUUCCGGCCCUUGACAUUCUUGUGCACGACGGCCACCCUCCUGAGCCCACACACCGAGCUCACUGUAACACCCAAAAAUUCCAUCAUAAACACAAUAUAAGCAACAUGUGGUCUAGCUCUUUAUUUUCUAAGAACUAAAUAAAAUACUAAUAUUAAAUUAUGGCCUUUAAAAAAUUAAAGAACACUUGAAAUAACUUUUUAGAGACAAGUGCUUGUUAGGGUUCUUCGUUUGCUUCCCUUUUUGUUUGCGUUUGCAAAAUUUUACAUGAUGUCACUGUCCUCGUCAUCCUCGGCACUGGCAGAGCGUCGUUGGGGCAUAGAGGACCAUGGCCCCCUUGCUUGGUAAAAAAAAAAAUCAGAAGAGCAAAGUGCAAAGGCCCAGUCCAAGUGCAGUCCGUGGCUUGUUGACACGUAAUUAAUAAAUCAAUAAAUCCCACAAGGCAUUAACCACAUAGGCACAAACAAACAUUGAAAACAAUAGAAAAAAAUAUUGAGCCAAUUCCAGCAACUAGCGGAUGAGACAACGACCUCAGCCGUCACCCCUUCGCAAGAUGGACACUUCCUUCACAGUUGACUCAUUGAGGUUGUCAUCGUCGGCCGUCGCCACUUGCCAGGGCUGGCGCCUUGCAGCCUGGUGCUAGAACUUUCAUCCUGAAGGUAUGGUUGCUUUUCUUCCUUCUUUUGUUUAUCUUCUAAGUUCUUAACACAUUAGAUCCGUAGAGUAUGCAGGCUACUAUUGCCUAAUUAGCUGGUAAUUUGUUGUCAAUUGAGAUCUAUUAUUAUUUCUUUUGAGAAAAUUGAGAUGUUUCGCUAGUUUAUUUGGCCCUAAUCCCCAAAUUGCAGAGUUUAUAUGAUUUUGUGGUUUUAUAACUAAAUACAGUUCUGCAAUUUGGUAGGUAGGUACAAAUAGGUAAAGAGAAGCCUAUUGAUUCAUUUUUCAAAAGCAAAAGAGAUGAACCAAUUGUGGACUGUCGAGCAGCCUCUGGUUCAAGCCAACCAAUUUCCCACCUAAAAUUUGCUUCACGCUCCGCCACGGAUCCUCGAUCCUCGGUGAGAAUUUUUAACCUCUUUGAAAAAGUCGGCGAUUGCGAAUCUCCACCUGCAUUUUUGAAAUGGAUUCUGAAAUAUUGUGGCGAAAUGUCCUUUUCUAAGUGGGCCUAGACCCAUAAAUUCGCGAGCUCCGCCCCACUCACCACUGCCACACCAUAACUCCGCCUGUGCUGUCGUGGCCACUUGCUCGCCUCGUCGCUCUCGCGCGUCACAGUAGCAGCAGUUCUUGAGGCGGUACGCUGCCUGCAAGCUAUGCGAGCCCGUCAGCUCGUCAGGCACAGUGCCUGCCUGCCGCUACGCUCCACCUCCCCACCACCACGCUGCAAGCCGACGCCCGCAAGCUGCCGCUCGGCCACAGCGCCGCCGCUGAUGCCGUGCCUUUGAGCAGCCUUUUAUUUGUUUUUUAGCUUUUUUUUUUUUGAAGAUUCUCACACAUGUGGAAAUAUUUCAAAAUCUGGAUCCAUAGCUUGACGUCAUCCACACUGGCACCAAGCUUACACGUCUUGGCACCAGCCGUUCUGGUGCCUAGGUCGUUGCGCAGCUGUUGAUGGGGCAGCUGACGUGACGGUGGCUUGGCGCCUGGCUGUUUAACACACGGCCUCCGCCUCUAACUUCUCCCACCGGCUGCCGCCUCCUAGCCACCGGGUGGAGUGGGCGCAGUGCGCCGAUGACACCCCACUUCGCCUCCGCGCCCUUUCUCGUUGGAAGGUAAAUUUCUUAUUAGUUUUAAUAGUGAGAUAUAUAGAAUAGGUAGGUAGAAUUGUUAAAUAGAAUUUAGAUAGAUAGAUAGAACAGUUAGAUAGUUAGUUUGAAAGAUAAUUAGAUAGAAUUUUCAUCUUAUGUAAUUUUCUUUUUAGAUAUGUAUAGUUAGAUAGAUGGUUAGAUAGAUAGUUAGAUAGAAUUUUAUUCAUAUGUAAUUUUUUUACUUAGAUAGAUAGAAUAGUUAGAUAGAUAGUAAUAUAGUUAGUAUGAUAGUUAGUUAAAUAGUUAUAUACUAAAUUACAUAGUAACUCGACAUAGUUAGUAGUAUUUAGUAGUUUGUAGUUAAUAGAUAGUAUCUAUUUAGUUAGUUGGUACGUAAUGAAGAUUUUAUACUUAGAAUGCUUCAUUUAUAUUGGACUAAAUGAAUUGUUCUGUUUAUAACCUUGAUGGACAACGUAGUGAGCAUAUAUCAUGAAGGUACCGUGGAAAGAGAUGACUAUGGAUGUGUUAAGUUUGUUAACAUGCAAAGCAUGGUUGUGUUAUUAAUUGAGAAGCCCUCAUUUAGUGAGUUGGUUGCAAGUGCUCGGGAGGAGCUAUAUUGCCAUGAAGAUGAUGACAUCACAGUGGAGGGCGUACUUCACCUAGGUUCCCCUUUCAACAUCCAAAGGAAGAUGAUCCCAAUUUGGUGCGCAGAUAAGUGGGAGAAUGAUGUGAGAUCGGUUAUGAAGCGCCAGUUCUAAAGUUUGGACGUGGUUGUGCGUCGGGUGUUAGUUGAUCCCAUCCGUCAUCGGUUUUCCCGACCAAUGGGUCAGCAUGCACACUUCGACCCUUUCGUCCCAGAACCUAUUAUGGAUGUGGAGGUUGCACAUAUGGUUCCCGAUGCUGAAUCUGCCCCCAAUGAGGUAGUUGGAGCUGCUUGUCGGACACUUGAUGCUGUGGUAAAUCCUCCUCAUGAGAUCCCUUUGACACAAAAUCAUCCGAGUAAGUGUCUUAUCGGCACGCUUCUUGGGAGCUAACCUCCUUCAUUACAUCAAUUUUUUUCUUCCUUUCUCAUAUUUCUACCAAUGUUUUAGGAGACAUUCCUAAAAAUGUGGAUGUGCCCCCAGUUGCUACUCAACUGCACUAUGGAGAUGGAUUACGUGGCUCUAAUAGUGUUGGAAUUAUGAAUGAUUCGGAUGCAUAUGAGAUGGGAAUGUAUCUUGAUUCUGAUAAUGAUCGCCCUGUUGGAGAGAUGACAGAGAGUGAUGUUGAGAUGUUCAGGCGUUGCUUUCCUGACCGUCGUGAUCCAAGAGUUCACGAGUUCAGUGAUCUUUCUCAUUCUAAUCAUGCGUGUGCAGAGGGAAGUGAUGAUGAGCUCCUAGAAGCUCCUGAGGCUGGACCUAGCAUAGUGAUUGAGGAGGGUAGCGCAUUGAUGAGGUGGUUACAGGCAUUUGCAGUGAUAAAGAAGAGACCUUACAAGGUCUUGCAUUCAUAUGCAGAGCACCGUUACACAGUUGUGUGUGACAAGUAACAGUGCCCAUGGAUGAUUUGUGCAAGGAAGAAAAAGAUCACCGAGAAGUGAAAGAUCACAAAAGUUGUCAGGCCACACAAUUGUGCUAACACUAGAACAUUGAGAAGUGGAAGAUCACUGGAUAGAAUGGUAAGUCAAGUACCUUACUUUCCCAUGUUAAAUUACUUAGUGAUUUACUGGUUUACUUAUUAUGGACUUUGUGGACUCUUGUUAUGAACUAUUUUGGACUUUCAUUACGGACUUCGUGGACUUUCAUUAUGGACUUUGUGGACGUUCAUUAUGAACUAUUGUGCAUAUAGACAUUCAUUAUGAAAUUUUGUGUGUAUGAACUAUUGUGGACUUUCAUUAUGAAUUUUGUGGACGUUUAUUAUGAACUAUUGUGUAUAUGGACUUUCAUUGUGAAUUAUUAUGUGUAUGAACUAUUGUGGACUUUUAUUACGAACUAUUGUAGAUUUUCAUUAUGAAUGUGGCAUCUGUUUGAACAUGUUGUAUUCAGGUAGAAUAUUCAUCUCAUAAUUGUGUAUGAAUUACAUCCAAAAAUAGGGGAAAUUCUGCUGAAAUUUCACAAAAAUAUAGAAUUGCAUUUCGCUAACCAAAAUUCUUCGGCAUGUAAGCUUAUGUGCAUUAGGCAUGUGCUCACAUAUUUCUCGCAAAGAAAAUGACAUCGCACAUACUACUAUGGUGCCCAUACUUAAAGUGCAUUACAUGACAACACAAUGAAAAGUCCAACAAUAGACAACAUGUUUCAUAAAUAAACUAUCAGACUACAAGUAAUGGAGACUACUGAGUGCAACGAGUCCACUUUCCCUUCCUCAAUCGUAGCUUUCGCUUGGUGUGCAUGCUCAAGCUUCUUCUCCCUCUCCUACCUAUCCGCAGCAACACGCCUCCUUUCUUCCUCUUCCUUGUGCUCCUUUUAUGCGGCCUCCUUUCUGAGCCUCUUCUCCAUCAUCUCCUUCCUCUCUGCCUCCAACCGCAAUAUUUCCUGCAUCUCCUCCUUGUCUUCAGGCUUGAUCUCGGUGUUGAUCCAGUGCUCAAAAUCACAGAGCGGUGCAGGGGUCUACAACAAAUGCAAUUGUUAUAAAAUAAAAAAAAUCAUGUAAAAUAAUUAUAACCCAACAAUAAUUCCUCACCAUCUUGUUAAUGCGGCGUUGACGAAGUGUAGGCUCAAACUUAAAAUUAGAACACAUCCAGUACCUCUACCUAUACGUGUCAUCUGCAUCGGACUUGGCUACCCUGCAAGGAUCGCUGCAAAAGCACAUGGGUACUGGAACACCACUAGGCAGAGGUAAUGGGUCGAAGCUAUUUCGGGUCAUACGGGCAUAACUACAAUUUAGUCAUUUUCAUUCUAAGAACCGAAAGCGGUUAACAUUAAACCUACACCUAGGGUUUCCCAUUUGAUCCACAAGAAUGAAUCCAUAACAUAACUACGUGCGCUGAGGUUACCAUAGUUUCGUAGCUUUUCCACGCCUUGGCAUCCUAUGGUUGCACGAAACGCUAUGUUCAAAAAUCCGACUAAUAUAUAGCGAAUCGAUGUGAAAAAAACUAGGAGGGAGUGGAUAUCUUGCUCUCGAAGAUCCAUGGAUCAAAUCGAAGUUUCUAAGAUUUAAUAUGCCGAUUCGUGGUGUAAGGUGAAGUGGGGAGAGAAAAAACCUGAGAGGGAGGAGAAAGAGGAGGAAGAAGCUUCAGGCAAGAAGAAAGGGUGCGGCCUUAUGUUAGCAGGUUUGGCUCCAGGCUAGCUGGCACGAGGCCACCACUACAUCAGCUGCCCCAUCAGCAGCUGUUGAGCGACCUAGGCGCCGGGAUAGCCGGCGUCGAGAUGCGUAAGCUUGGCACCAGCGUGGAUGGCGCCAAGGUAUGGGUCCAGAUUUUGAAAUGUUUCCGUCAGAGGCGUAUUUGUAGAGGCGUAUUUGUAAGAAUCUUUCAGAAAAAAGGCUAACAAAAAAGUCAGAUGUUUGAGCCGCUCCACAGCCCUUACCAUCACCGACUAUAAAAGGCAGGGUCGAGCGCCUCUCCGCAACCGAACUUGCCGAGCCGCCAGCUCCGCUGCUCAACUUCUUGCAAUUCUGCCUGCAAUUUAUUUAUGGAGUGAUCGAGAAAUUGAGCGAGUUUGGAGGCUAGUGGUUGAUACGUUUUUUGCAUCGAAUUGACAUUGAAUUAGUUUUCUUUGAACUGCCAUUUCAAAUGUUUUUUCUAUAGUUGCAUGUGAAACACAUCUAUUGCCGCUAAUCAAUCUGUCGACGCUUUUUUGGGCCAACACAUGAAUGUACGCGAUUGUGCGGCGCGUGGAGGGGCUCACUGUAGCACGUCGAUGCAUGCCGGUUUGACCACUUACGGUCUGACCGGUUGUUAGGCCACCUAGUAGUAGAUUGGAAAAUUUAGGGAAAAAGAAUAAAGGAAAAGACAAUAAAUAGUAGCUUGGUUUUUUUCGAUUAGGUUGGAUGCCCUCAAUCGGUCGAAUCCCUUUAUAUUUCUAAGGAGGGAAGGUCUUUAUAUUUAUAGGAAGGGAAGGUCUUACCCAUGAGGGAGUCAAAAUCCUAACAAAAAUCGUGCUAAAUUAAAAGUUCUACUCGGUUUACACUGAGCCAGAUAGGUCAGACCAGCCUGGGCAACCUGUCGGACCAGUCUGCCCGGGUGUAUAUCUUGCGAAGGUCGUAUCUCUCUCAUCCGAACUUCAAAUCGGACGUUCUAUAUAAGAAUCUUGAUCUACUCAACAAGAUACAGGAAAUGGUAGAGUCCAAUCUUCAUUUGGAGCACUUUGAUCCAACCAGUCCGACUGGUGGCAUCAGGACUGGUGGCAUCAGCCGGUCUGACCUGUCUGUACGGGGGUGCUGAUCUUUCCGAGGGCAUAACUCUCAGGUCCGAAAUCCAAAUCGGACAUUCCAUAUAUGCAUUUUGAUCGCCUUGAUGAGAGAUAUGUCCUGGUGAAGUCCAAUUUGCUUUUUGAGAACUUUCCCAAACCGGUUUGACCGCUUGGAAGACCGGUCUAAACAUGUCUGAUCAGAUCUAUCCAGACCUGCCACUUUUCGGCAUCAACACGAGUUUUCCAGUAGUGACAACACAACAACUGUAUUACCCACGGCAUGAAAAUAACACAUAACAAGAAGCUAUGUACCACUAAGCAACACAAUCAAUACUCUUGCAAAGGGGGCGAAAUACCAAAGGAAAUGGCGAUGAAAUUGAAACCCCGCCAACAGAGCUUUGCUUGAGCACGUACAGCUCUUUAUUACAGAAACAGUAUAGGAUACGAUCGAUGUGCCAUCAAGCAUAAAGCAGCAACACUUAUUUCUUUUCUCAAAGCAAGCAAGAACAGAACUGGUCAUCAAAGAAGUUGACGGGAUUCAUUCAUUCAGAUGGCCGCCGCGGUCGGUGUGCAGCGGCGCUUGCAGAAGUUAGUGAGGACGUCGACGCACCGGUAGACAGGCGCCUCGGUGGUGCUGGUGUACUUGACGCAGUUCAUGCACGCUGGGUGGCAACCCUGGAACGAGAUGUCCAGGCAACUGCAAUCUGGUGGAUUCUUCCUGUUGCAGAAGCCGCACUGGUUGCAGC
Molecule: long non-coding RNA, 15111 nt
Filed under: Setaria italica (foxtail millet)
Lineage: Eukaryota; Viridiplantae; Streptophyta; Magnoliopsida; Poales; Poaceae
Description: long non-coding RNA (SITA_LNC006302)
Source: RNAcentral